AGAGCGAACGCUGGCGGCAGGCCUAACACAUGCAAGUCGAGCGCCCCGCAAGGGGAGCGGCAGACGGGAGAGUAACACGUGGGAACGUACCCUUUGGUUCGGAACAACACAGGGAAACUUGUGCUAAUACCGGAUAAGCCCUUACGGGGAAAGAUUUAUCGCCAAAGGAUCGGCCCGCGUCUGAUUAGCUUGUUGGUGAGGUAACGGCUCACCAAGGCUACGAUCAGUAGCUGGUCUGAGAGGAUGAUCAGCCUCACUGGGACUGAGACACGGCCCAGACUCCUACGGGAGGCAGCAGUGGGGAAUAUUGGACAAUGGGCGCAAGCCUGAUCCAGCCAUGCCGCGUGGAUGAUGAAGGCCCUAGGGUUGUAAAGUCCUUUCGACGGGGAAGAUAAUGACGGUACCGUAGAAGAAGCCCGGCUAACUUCGCGCCAGCAGCCGC
This 442-nucleotide ribosomal RNA is filed under the name uncultured bacterium. RNAcentral's name for it is "SSU rRNA". It matches the Rfam family "Bacterial small subunit ribosomal RNA", at positions 26 to 518 of the family's 1533-position model. The record is from RNAcentral.